AGCUGAUGUACCAGACAGCAUUACUGGAGAGUGGUUUCCUGCUCAAUGACCCAAAGGAUUUUGCCUCCCGCAUCUACAGCUCAGUUAAGACCACUUUAAAUGUGAGCCCUGAUGCAGCAGUUGAGGAAGAAGAGGAUAUUGAGGAACCUGAAGCUGAAACUGAUGAAAAGGAAGCUGCUUCCAAAGUUUAAAGGUGAGCCCUGAUGCAGCAGUUGAGGAAGAAGAGGAUAUUGAGGAACCUGAAGCUGAAACUGAUGACAAAGAAGCUGCUGCCAAAGAUGAUUCUGAUGCCAAGGACGAAUUAUAGAUUACUCUUGAAGAAUGCCCUUUCUCUGGAGAAAACUUCGUAGAAGUCUGUUAAAUCAAUAUGAUGAAUGUGUAUAAACUGA
Molecule: long non-coding RNA, 389 nt
Filed under: Nicotiana benthamiana
Lineage: Eukaryota; Viridiplantae; Streptophyta; Magnoliopsida; Solanales; Solanaceae
Description: long non-coding RNA (NBEN_LNC039434)
Source: RNAcentral